UUGGAGGGCAAGUCUGGUGCCAGCAGCCGCGGUAAUUCCAGCUCCAAUAGCGUAUAUUAAAGUUGUUGCAGUUAAAAAGCUCGUAGUUGAAUUUCGGAAUCCAUCCGUCGGUCGGGCCUCACGGUCCGCACUGGUGUGAUGGAUUCCUACCUUCUGAAUAACCAGCAUGCCAUUAAUUUGGUGCGUUGGGGAAGCAGGACUGUUACCUUGAAAAAAUUAGAGUGCUUAAAGCAGGCUAGUGCCUGAAUACAUUAGCAUGGAAUAAUGAAAUAGGACGGCAUGGUUCUAUUUUGUUGGUUUCUAGGAUCACCGUAAUGAUUAAUAGGGAUAGUUGGGGGCAUUAGUAUUCAAUUGUCAGAGGUGAAAUUCUUGGAUUUAUUGAAGACUAACUUCUGCGAAAGCAUUUGCCAAGGAUGUUUUCAUUAAUCAAGAACGAAAGUUAGGGGAUCGAAGACGAUCAGAUACCGUCGUAGUCUUAACCAUAAACUAUGCCGACUAGGAAUCAGACGAUGUUAAUUUUUUAAUGACUCGUUCGGCGCCUUACGGGAAAC
RNAcentral lists this ribosomal RNA (551 nucleotides) under uncultured Glomeromycotina. RNAcentral describes it as "SSU rRNA". It matches the Rfam family "Eukaryotic small subunit ribosomal RNA", at positions 548 to 1098 of the family's 1831-position model. Lineage: Eukaryota; Fungi; Glomeromycota. The record is from RNAcentral.